Molecule: ribosomal RNA, 852 nt
Filed under: uncultured bacterium
Lineage: Bacteria
Description: bacterial SSU rRNA
Rfam family: Bacterial small subunit ribosomal RNA
Source: RNAcentral
AGAGUUUGAUCCUGGCUCAGGACGAACGCUGGCGGCGUGCUUAACACAUGCAAGUCGAACGAGACGAUUGAAAGCUUGCUUUUGAAAGUCGAGUGGCAAACGGGUGAGUAACGCGUAGACAACCUGCCGUAAAGAUGGGGACAACAGUCCGAGAGGACUGCUAAUACCGAAUGUUGUGGAACUCCCGCAUGGGAGCUCCACUAAAGAUGGCCUCUACUUGUAAGCUAUCGCUUUACGAUGGGUCUGCGUCUGAUUAGCUAGUUGGUGGGGUAACGGCCUACCAAGGCGACGAUCAGUAGCCGGUCUGAGAGGAUGAACGGCCACAUUGGAACUGAGACACGGUCCAGACUCCUACGGGAGGCAGCAGUGGGGAAUCUUCCGCAAUGGGCGCAAGCCUGACGGAGCAACGCCGCGUGAGUGAAGAAGGGUUUCGACUCGUAAAGCUCUGUUGUCGGGGACGAAUGUGGAGAUGGUGAAUAACCAUUUCCAAUGACGGUACCUGACGAGGAAGCCACGGCUAACUACGUGCCAGCAGCCGCGGUAAUACGUAGGUGGCGAGCGUUGUCCGGAAUUAUUGGGCGUAAAGGGAGCGCAGGCGGGAGGUCAAGUCUAUCUUAAAAGUGCGGGGCUCAACCCCGUGAGGGGAUGGAAACUGGUCUUCUUGAGUGCAGGAGAGGAAAGCGGAAUUUCCUAGUGUAGCGGUGAAAUGCGUAGANNUUAGGAGGAACACCAGUGGCGAAGNNGGCUUUCUGGACUGUACUGACGCUGANGCUCGAAAGCNNGGGGAGCGACAGGAUUANNNACCCUGGUNGUCCACCNCNNAACGANGAAUGCUAGNGUAGGAGGUAUUCG